Molecule: ribosomal RNA, 497 nt
Filed under: uncultured bacterium
Lineage: Bacteria
Description: partial 16S ribosomal RNA
Rfam family: Bacterial small subunit ribosomal RNA
Source: RNAcentral
GAUGAACGCUGGCGGCGUGCCUAAUACAUGCAAGUCGAGCGAACAGACGAGGAGCUUGCUCCUCUGACGUUAGCUGCGGACGGGUGAGUAACACGUGGAUAACCUACCUAUAAGACUGGGAUAACUUCGGGAAACCGGAGCUAAUACCGGAUAAUAUAUUGAACCGCAUGGUUCAAUAGUGAAAGACGCUUUUGCUGUCACUUAUAGAUGGAUCCGCGCCGCAUUAGCUAGUUGGUAAGGUAACGGCUUACCAAGGCAACGAUGCGUAGCCGACGUGAGAGGGUGAUCGGCCACAUGGGAACUGAGACACGGUCCAGACUCCUACGGGAGGCAGCAGUAGGGAAUCUUCCGCAAUGGGCGAAAGCCUGACGGAGCAACGCCGCGUGAGUGAGGAAGGUCUUCGGAUCGUAAAACUCUGUUAUUAGGGAAGAACAAAUGUGUAAGUAACUAUGCACGUCUUGACGGUACCUAAUCAGAAAGCCACGGCUAACUACGUG